AACGCACGAGACCUGCGGACCUGCGGAGGGAUCAUUAAUGAGAAACUGCCCCUCGCGGGUGGAUCUCCCACCCUUUGUAAACUUACCUUUGUUGCUUUGGCAGGCCCGUCUCCGGACCGCCGGCUUCGGCUGGCCAGUGCCUGCCAGAGGAUUCUAAAACUCUGUCUGUCAGUGUUGUCUGAGUCUAUAUACAAUCGUUAAAACUUUCAACAACGGAUCUCUAGAUCGGAAGAGCACACG
This 240-nucleotide unclassified non-coding RNA is filed under the name soil metagenome. Its description in RNAcentral is "partial contains 5.8S ribosomal RNA, internal transcribed spacer 2, and large subunit ribosomal RNA". The record is from RNAcentral.